Long non-coding RNA from Sceloporus undulatus (fence lizard), 763 nucleotides. RefSeq lists it as uncharacterized. The record is from RefSeq and is a predicted model, not a curated record. Lineage: Eukaryota; Metazoa; Chordata; Lepidosauria; Squamata; Phrynosomatidae. The transcript is spliced from 3 exons.
AAACCUCCUCUGAAAAAUGACGGAGUCCUUGAGGAUGACAACUGAAAAGGGGGCGGGGCUAGGUGAGGCGAUCGGUAGGGGUCGCUGUGGCAAAGGCGACUCCGAGGGACCUCAAUGGGAGAAGUCCUCCGGCGGAGGCUUAGAGGCAGGCACCAUAGAGACGAAGCGGCCGGAAGGGUUGCGAAUAGAAACCGGAAGUCGACAGGGUUCCGAAUAGAAACCCGAAGUCGACAGGGCUGCCAAGCCAAGAAGCCUCCAGAGAGCAUCCGGUUGAUAAGCAGCAGCAGCAGCAGCAGAGAGAGGCUUCUGCUUCGUAUCCACAGUUCUGCUGUUACAAAAUUGUGUAAGAUGAUCUGACUUCUCCAGAUCCUUUGAAAAACAAUCCUAUGUGAGUCGUCUCAAAGCAGCCUGAUACUUUGGGUUACAAGACGACUUUGACUGAACCAAUGAGUACACUGCCUAAAUCAAAUAAAUCUGAUUAUUUUGUGAGUAAUACAAGCCAGGAAACAGGCAGACAUGAAAUACCAGAGAGCAGGAUGUGUACCACAGGUAGGUAGGACAGGUUUUAAGGCAAGCAUGUAUGUGUCGUUUUAUGCUAAACAUGCACCAAAAAUGAAAAUAUUCCAUAGAAAUCUAUGGGAGAGGCUUGGUUUUAUUUUAUGUUUUCGGAAGCUGUUUUAAGGAAGUUCACAUACCUCAGUUGCACAGUAUUACUACUCAGGUUGCAUCUACACUGUAGAAAUAAUGCAGUUUGAUACCACUU